This 202-nucleotide ribosomal RNA is filed under the name uncultured Staphylococcus sp. Its description in RNAcentral is "partial 16S ribosomal RNA". It matches the Rfam family "Bacterial small subunit ribosomal RNA", at positions 161 to 355 of the family's 1533-position model. The record is from RNAcentral. Lineage: Bacteria; Bacillati; Bacillota; Bacilli; Caryophanales; Staphylococcaceae.
AGCUAAUACCGGAUAAUAUUUCGAACCGCAUGGUUCGAUAAGUGAAAGAUGGUUUUGCUAUCACUUAUAGAUGGACCCGCGCCGUAUUAGCUAGUUGGUAAGGUAACGGCUUACCAAGGCGACGAUACGUAGCCGACCUGAGAGGGUGAUCGGCCACACUGGAACUGAGACACGGUCCAGACUCCUACGGGAGGCAGCAGUA